Molecule: non-coding RNA, 93 nt
Organism: Mycena capillaripes
Lineage: Eukaryota; Fungi; Basidiomycota; Agaricomycetes; Agaricales; Mycenaceae
Source: the annotation of a GenBank genome assembly
GACUCGAUGACGUAGUGGUAGCGCAUUAGGACAGAUAUCAAGAUCACUCUCGCGGAAGUCGCCGCCUCGCCGAUUCGAAUCCCGCUCGAGUCG